AAGUCGCACGGGUGUAGCAAUACAUCAGUGGCGAACGGGUGAGUAAUGAAUCGCUAACGUACCCUGGACUCUGGGAUAGCUGACCGAAAGGUCAGGUAAUACCAGAUGAUAUAACUUUGUCGCAUGACAGAGUUCUCAAAGGUCCGCCGGUCUUGGAGCGGGCGAUUUCGUAUCAGCUAGUUGGUGAGGUAACGGCUCACCAAGGCGACGACGCGUAGCCGGACUGAGAGGUUGGCCGGCCACAUUGGGACUGAGACACUGCCCAGACUCCUACGGGGGGCUGCAGUAACGAAUCUUCCGCAAUGCACGAAAGUGUGACGGAGCGACGCCGCGUGUGGGACGAAGCCCUUCGGGGUGUAAACCACUGUCAGGGGAAAGAAAGUUCUGAUCUACCCCAGAGGAAGAGGCGGCUAACUCUGUGCCAGCAGCCGCGGUAAUACAGAGGCCUCGAGCGUUAGGCGGAAUCACUGGGCUUAAAGCGUGUGUAGGCGGACUUCUAAGUACCUUGUGAAAUCCCACGGCUCACCCGUGGAACUGCUCGGUAUACUGGUCGUCUUGAGCCUUCUAGGGGCGAGUGGAACAAAUGGUGGAGCGGUGAAAUGCGUAGAUAUCAUUUGGAACGCCAAUGGUGAAAACAACUCGCUGGGGAAGUGCUGACGCUGAGACACGAAAGCCAGGGGAGCGAACGGGAUUAGAUACCCCGGUAGUCCUGGCCGUAAACGAUGUCGACUAGAUCGUGGUGCCUCUGACGGUUUCACGGUCGAAGCAAAAGUGCUAAGUCAACCGCCUGGGAAGUACGGUCGCAAGGCUAAACUCAAAGGAAUUGA
RNAcentral lists this ribosomal RNA (827 nucleotides) under uncultured bacterium. Its description in RNAcentral is "bacterial SSU rRNA". It matches the Rfam family "Bacterial small subunit ribosomal RNA", at positions 59 to 913 of the family's 1533-position model. The record is from RNAcentral.